RNAcentral lists this transfer RNA (72 nucleotides) under Bos taurus (domestic cattle). It matches the Rfam family "tRNA". From Rfam's summary of the family: Transfer RNA (tRNA) molecules are approximately 80 nucleotides in length. Their secondary structure includes four short double-helical elements and three loops (D, anti-codon, and T loops). Further hydrogen bonds mediate the characteristic L-shaped molecular structure. tRNAs have two regions of fundamental functional importance: the anti-codon, which is responsible for specific mRNA codon recognition, and the 3' end, to which the tRNAs corresponding amino acid is attached (by aminoacyl-tRNA synthetases). tRNAs cope with the degeneracy of the genetic code in two manners: having more than one tRNA (with a specific anti-codon) for a particular amino acid; and 'wobble' base-pairing, i.e. permitting non-standard base-pairing at the 3rd anti-codon position. The record is from Rfam by way of RNAcentral. RNAcentral also lists the same sequence under 3 other names. Lineage: Eukaryota; Metazoa; Chordata; Mammalia; Artiodactyla; Bovidae.
UCCCUGGUGGCUCAGAUGGUAAAGAAUCUGCCUGCAAUGCAGGAGACCUGGGUUGGAUCCCUAGGUAGGGAA